This 225-nucleotide ribosomal RNA is filed under the name uncultured eukaryote. RNAcentral describes it as "partial 18S ribosomal RNA". It matches the Rfam family "Eukaryotic small subunit ribosomal RNA", at positions 1208 to 1456 of the family's 1831-position model. The record is from RNAcentral.
UGAAAUCUCACCAGGCCCGGACACUGGAAGGAUUGACAGAUUGAUAGCUCUUUCUUGAUUCGGUGCGUGGUGGUGCAUGGCCGUUCUUAGUUGGUUGAGUGAUUUGUCUUGUUAAUUCCGAUAACGAACGAGACUCUGUCCUGCUAACUAGUUUGUAUUCUCACAGAGUGCAAUACUUCUUAGAGGGACUAUAUGUGUCAAGCAUAUGGAAGUUUGAGGCAAUAA